Molecule: ribosomal RNA, 253 nt
Filed under: uncultured bacterium
Lineage: Bacteria
Description: partial 16S ribosomal RNA
Rfam family: Bacterial small subunit ribosomal RNA
Source: RNAcentral
UACAGAGGUCCCGAGCGUUGUUCGGAUUCACUGGGCGUAAAGGGUGCGUAGGUGGUGAGGAAAGUCGGAUGUGAAAUCUCCAAGCUCAACUUGGAAAUGGCAUUGGAAACUACCUUGCUGGAGGUUUGGAGGGGGGACUGGAAUACUUGGUGUAGCAGUGAAAUGCGUAGAUAUCAAGUGGAACACCAGUGGCGAAGGCGAGUCCCUGGACAACAACUGACACUGAGGCACGAAAGCGAGGGGAGCAAACAGG